AUCAGCCGAAGGCCCACACGCUAUCUACAUAAGAGAAACCCAAAUUGUCAAAACCUUGAGACCGAGCUCCAAUUGAAUCUCUCGCUCAGGACGACCUGACAUGCAAAAUGCACAUCAUCACCGCUCAGGCAGUAAAAACUAAGGAAAAAGAGUAAGUCAUAGAAAGACCCAAGGAGACAAACAGGGGGAAGCAUGAUAAAGGUCAGACCAGCCUAUCACCUAAAAAG
This 227-nucleotide long non-coding RNA is filed under the name Manihot esculenta (cassava). RNAcentral describes it as "long non-coding RNA (MESC_LNC006264)". The record is from RNAcentral. Lineage: Eukaryota; Viridiplantae; Streptophyta; Magnoliopsida; Malpighiales; Euphorbiaceae.